AUGGCUAUGGAAACUUUCCUGGUCAGCUUAUCCUGCUCAAAUUCAGACGCCACACCUGAUGCGGAGGCACCGCACCAGGACGAAAGAACGAUUGAGCAGCUCAGACCUAGCUACCAAAAACCAAUCUCACCACUUUUACGUAGGCAAGCGGGGGUGCACAACAAACAGAAGAAAAGGACACCGCCAGCACAUGUCCGAAGAAGUGCCAGGAUCGAUGGAAGAUUCACUGCUGGCUCAUCAGUUAAACAGCAGCAAUGCACGCUCAUGCUACAGCUAGGAAUUGCACGAGAAGGGGAAGCAAUUGGGGACGACGCAAUGCAGGCCUACCUGGACCUGUUCUCUUGCCCGUUGCAGCAGGAGCACAUCGCGGCAAUUGUGGGGCUCUUCGGGUGGCAGGCCGAGGUGCUCCCACUCGGACGCAUUGUGGACGGGGCUGCACAGUAG
RNAcentral lists this ribosomal RNA (444 nucleotides) under Triticum aestivum (bread wheat). RNAcentral's name for it is "partial small subunit ribosomal RNA". Lineage: Eukaryota; Viridiplantae; Streptophyta; Magnoliopsida; Poales; Poaceae. The record is from RNAcentral.